AACAGGAACAACAGGAGGAGGAGAAGCAGUGGUUCGCCGUCUCGCUGUCUCUCUCCCCCUCUCUCUCCAUCUCCCUCCCUCUCUGGCUCUUUCCCCUUUAAACCAUCAAGCGUCGAAUUUACAGUUACAUUGAUGGAAUCUCGAGAAGGCUCGAGCAAAAUAUGCCAACAAAACAGUCUAUAAAAAGAUUUUGUUGUGGAUGAUAACACGGGUUCAAACGAGUCAGCAGCGCAUAGACUUGAAGCUCUUGGCACAUCUCUUCAUCAACUUCUAAGCAAUAGGAUGGAACGAAUUCGAAGACAAAAAACUGAAAAUGAACAACAAAAUGCCCAGAUAAAAGCUCAACUAAAUUGCGGGUUUUAAGGAUAUUGAAGACUUUCUCCUAGGGGUGUCAAUAGUCCUUCUGAUGGCAAAGUUGAGAAGUUGCCAGGCCUACCCAGAAGAAUGAUUAGCAGGUAGGAGGGCAAUUUCAACAUCUUUCCUUGAAGUGAUAAAUGAAAAUUUUAAGAAUGUGAGAUUGAGAAGAUUUUCAAGCAUUCAAUUGCAACAGGUAUGCGUGUUUGGGUAUGUUUUUAUGUGUAAAUGAAAUAAUAUUUUUUACAUACUACCAUCUUUGCCUUUCCAUCUCUAUAUUUCAUAUGCUUCGCUUGCUAGAAUUAAAGGUGAUUUAGUUAGUGCAAAUAGUUUGAUAUUCAUGGGAAAGAAAUUUUUGUCGUAUCUCAUAAAUUUAAUAUUCAUUGGGGGUGCGAUUUGCUUAAAGAUUCGUUGAUUGCCAAAGCCUCAUCUAUAAUUUAGAGACUCAGUGACGUCAUAGGACAUGAGGUCAGAUACAUAAACUUUAAGUUGCAGCCAUUACUUAAGUAAACCGUAUAAAAAAGAGAAAUAUAUAAAGAAAAGAAAAAUUAGUUUCGAUACACCACGUUUAUGAAUUGGAUUUAAUAUCUUUAAGGCUACCCACCAUUAAUAUUAUAGCUACAAGCCUACAACAAACCAAAUGCUUCAGAUCAUAUUGCAUGUAUAAAAAUAUAUAUGUGUUAACUGAGUAUUAUUGUUGGUAUCGCAUCAUAUAGCGGAGCUGAGGCUAGGCCUAGCAGUUAGUUUAAGAUAUGCAGGCUGUCCAGCAUAUGUAUUAUGUAGUCCCUAGCAUCCUGCAUUUCUCUCCCUAGCGCGUAUUCAUGUUGCUCCUCCUCUAUUUUUUAUAUAUGCACUAUUCUGAAUUGAAUCUGUAUCCCUUGCGAAAUUAAAACACCCGCAGAGGCAAGCAUCACUGGCUAGCUACCUCCUGCAUGGGUUUCGCAUGUAUAUUGUUAUUAUGUACUCAAUUUUAUAUACUACUACAUGACCACCAGGUGUAUGAAUUUUCACUCUUAAUUUGCAAGAAAUAACUAUUUAUUAGGUAAGCAGUUUAGACUGCUAUCUUGAGUACUUCUUUUGUCAUUGAUUGUAUGUUCUGUUUAUAGAAAAUUAGAGCUAACAGAGUUUUCAGCAUAAUCUUCUUUUCAUUGUCAACAUUAGUAAAGCCUGUUCCUUCAUCAUAGACGAGCUUUAACUUACCUUCGCUGAUAUAAAAAUGAUCUGGAAAGAGUUCUUCAUGCACUCUGAUUUAUAGGCUGGAGGAGCAUUCGUGAAGGGUGUUUGUGUUCUAUAAUUACCUGCAGUUAUGUGUCAGCAUGUGUAAGCUCUAUGAUUAAGAUGCAGUAGUGAAUCUUCUACCCUGCUCUAUAUGAAACGUUUAUUUUGUAAUGCUUACCAGAGAUCUCAAGUUGCAAGAAAGUAUGUUCAAGAUCUUUAUAAGGGAUGCACAUAGAGAUGUUAAUAAACUUUACCUUCUACCAUAAUAUAUGGCGUGCCUGUUUAUUACAUCUCUCAAGCAGCAUAUCUAUUAUUUGAUUUUGAUGAGUUUCAUUGAUUUUAUAGGUGUGGGAGCGGCCUAUGGCAUUCUUCUUAACCGGUUACUAAUUUUUUUUGGUGCAGUGGAUGUUUUAAAUGGUGUGUGGAAACUAAAGAAAGUGAUGGUCGGAAAGCAGGUUAGCUACCCACAUGGCUGAUCUUCUCCACCAACAAAGAUUUUAAGUCCAGACACUUCAGCUUUUGUUUGGAAGAGCUUCAGGAGGUCACUGUUCUGUCACCCUGUUCUUCCCCCCCCCCCCCCCCCCACUUUAUCAUGAGAAACUGCUUGACUUUAUUGUGAUAAACUAAAAAAAUACAAAAAAAAACAGAAAAGAGAGAGAGAAUUUAGUUCGGUGUUUUUUUCAGUUCGGACGUGUACCUGAGCGCGUCAAGUGCCAACAUUCAUUCUUCUACACUAAUGAUAUUCGGCAUUUGUGGUUAGCCAAUUUUCAAUUUGUGUCUUUGGUACGUGUUCAUGUAUUUUAUGUAAAGCACAUACAUCAUUGACUUUUAUAUGCGUUCAGCAGAUUUUAAGAUUUUUUGAAGUGACUUGAAAAAACGACCAAAUUACUCCUUUGCGGAGGCCAUUGAGUGGUGACAACUGAGUAGUCUAUAUAUGUCCAUAUAUGUAUGUAUGUAUACUUCUUCACAAUAAUUUUAAUAUUCCUAUAUUACUCAGAGGUUUUAUUCUCACUUUUUUAGUUAUCUAUUUUUUCUAAAAUUUAAUAAUAUAGAUGGCAAAAAAAAAAUAUUUAGUAAUCAUCCAAAUCAAAAUAGUUGUGUAAAAUGAUAUAUGAACGAUUUAUUUGAGGAUUUAUAUUUGAGUGAACCAAAACUUAUACUUUUGUAUGUUGCAGUGGUUUAGAUAGUUUCGGCAAAGAGACAAGAAGCUCAUGGCUGCAAAACCCCAAAUUAUAUACAACAUAAAUCUUUGCACACUGAAUCAAACAUUAGGAAGGCGAUUAAGGAGGUUCUCACGACGAGCUUCUGUUUUUAUGUUUCUUAUUUCUACAUUUGUUUAGUACUCGGUUUGUAAUGAUCGACCUUCGCUGUCAAAUUUGACCAAUCAGAGUUUAAGAGAUUUUAACUUUACACAAUAUAAAAACUUAUCUCCAGAGAUCAUUUAUUAUAUAAUUAAAGAUGUUGGAGCUGUUAUAACUCUUAUUUGUGUUGGGUGCUGCUAUAUUAUUUUACAGAUAUUGAGGUCAAGUAGAUGCUGGUGCCCCGUCUCUCAGAAAGCUCAAAUUUUAACAAGGUUUAUCAGAUAUCAGAAUGCACGACGGUGUCGGCCGGACUGCAUAAGAGAGAUAGUAGCUGCAUUCCACCUCUCAUAUACGCCUUCAUGCGUAGUUCAAGAGACAUUGCCAUAGGAUAAGUGGCAGUGGUCUCUCUUUUGAUGGGCACAUUGCUACAAAAUGAACUUGAUCCUGAAACAAACAAACUUGAAUUUCAACGCCUUGCACUUACUGCGACAUUCUUUGCUGGUGUUACUCAAACUAUAUUUCAGAUGUAGAGACACGGGAAUUCUGGAUGCUUUCCUGCUGAUCUCAAAACUCAGCAGAAUGUCAAAGCUGUUUUCGAUACUGCUAUCAAGGCUGUACUUCAACCUCCAAGGAUGAAGGAAAUUGCAAGGAAGACCAGAUGUAGAAGCUCUGGUUGAUCAAUUGUCCAGAGUAUGGUAUGCGGAGGUUGUGUUGCUUAACACAUGCUGUUUUCGAAUGGACCAAAACAAAAGACUUUUGGCAUAGAUCGAUCUCCUGCAAUUGCUUUAUCAGUUCAACAGAACAAACUCUUCUCUUGCUACGUGUACAUCAAUGGAUGUUGGCAUGCAUAAUUGUAGCCGGAGGGAAUUUGUUGAUUUUGUGAGUUUUUCUUAUUCUGUUAGCAAAUGAAAAAGAUAGCCAUAGGAAAUUAGGAACUCAUUCUUUCUCUAGGCUAUGACUAUUAUGGUGAUAUGUGGAUGUGCAUGUGUGAUGUCUGGCUAUUUAAUGUGUAAGCUCUAUCUUCCCAGUAAGAUUCAUAUUUUGCUACUGCUGUUUAAUUUGUAGAAAUUUAUGUGAUAUUUCUUGACAUGGUGUAAUACAUAUUUUAGUCAUGGAUGUU
Daucus carota subsp. sativus is the source of this 3993-nucleotide long non-coding RNA. RefSeq lists it as uncharacterized. The record is from RefSeq and is a predicted model, not a curated record. Lineage: Eukaryota; Viridiplantae; Streptophyta; Magnoliopsida; Apiales; Apiaceae. The transcript is spliced from 9 exons.